Molecule: long non-coding RNA, 619 nt
Organism: Gasterosteus aculeatus aculeatus (three-spined stickleback)
Lineage: Eukaryota; Metazoa; Chordata; Actinopteri; Perciformes; Gasterosteidae
Source: Ensembl
CACACACACACACACCAUCUUUCACCGGGUGGUGCAAGCGGAUUCCCACACGGACACAGCCCCCUUUCAGCCACGCAGAAGGAAUCUGUCGGGAGCGUGAAAGCGGCGGUGUGAGGUUUAACGUCGGAAGAAGAAGAUUACUCAGGGGGAAAGAAUUACACGAGGGCUCGCACAGUGUGCGUCAGUGUGUUGACAGUGGAAACAAGCCGGGGGAACAAACGCCAGAAGGGAUCCGAGGAUCUGAUUGCAUCGCCUGGAGCCUCCUACUCAUCUCGGGCCACAGCGAGUGGUUCCCGAGGCAGAGGAGGAGGAGGAGGACGGACGUACAAAGAGCUCGGAGUCUCGCCAAUGUGCAAGUGCGCCCGAGGUUUCUUUAAAUAUGCGUGCUGGAAUGUCACCACAGCGAGAGCGAUUUGGCUUUUAUGAGGAAGCGUGGUUUGAUUUCCUUCCAAAUGAAAGCUGGAAGGAGGGAUGAACUGAGGGUGGUCUUGUGCCGGAGAGAAAGUGAUGCAUUUUAACUGCGUUGAAUGUUUGUGAUAAACUGAGGGAUGAAGCGUGUUGUUAAGAUUAAUUCUACUACAUAAAUAAUAAGAUAAAUUAACUGCUCACGUCGUCUGAG